This 434-nucleotide ribosomal RNA is filed under the name uncultured bacterium. RNAcentral describes it as "partial 16S ribosomal RNA". It matches the Rfam family "Bacterial small subunit ribosomal RNA", at positions 29 to 507 of the family's 1533-position model. The record is from RNAcentral.
AGCGAACGCUGGCGGCAGGCCUAACACAUGCAAGUCGAACGAACCUUUCGGGGUUAGUGGCGGACGGGUGAGUAACACGUGGGAACGUGCCUUUAGGUUCGGAAUAACUCAGGGAAACUUGUGCUAAUACCGAAUGUGCCCUUCGGGGGAAAGAUUUAUCGCCUUUAGAGCGGCCCGCGUCUGAUUAGCUAGUUGGUUGAGGUAAUGGCUCACCAAGGCGACGAUCAGUAGCUGGUCUGAGAGGAUGAUCAGCCACAUUGGGACUGAGACACGGCCCAAACUCCUACGGGAGGCAGCAGUGGGGAAUCUUGCGCAAUGGGCGAAAGCCUGACGCAGCCAUGCCGCGUGAAUGAUGAAGGUCUUAGGAUUGUAAAAUUCUUUCACCGGGGACAAUAAUGACGGUACCCGGAGAAGAAGCCCCGGCUAACUUCGUG